AUAUCAAUAAGCGGAGGAAAAGAAACCAACAGGGAUUGCCUUAGUAACGGCGAGUGAAGCGGCAAAAGCUCAAAUUUGAAAUCUGGCGUCUUCGGCGUCCGAGUUGUAAUUUGAAGAAGGCUACUUUGGAGCUGGAGUUUGUCUAAGUUCCUUGGAACAGGACGUCACAGAGGGUGAGAAUCCCGUGAGAUAAGCUUCCCAGUUCUAUGUAAAGUGCUUUCGAAGAGUCGAGUUGUUUGGGAAUGCAGCUCUAAGUGGGUGGUAAAUUCCAUCUAAAGCUAAAUAUUGGCGAGAGACCGAUAGCGAACAAGUACAGUGAUGGAAAGAUGAAAAGAACUUUGAAAAGAGAGUGAAAAAGUACGUGAAAUUGUUGAAAGGGAAGGGCUUGAGAUCAGACAUGGUAUUUUGUAAACCUUCUCUCUCGUGGAGGGGGCCCCUUGCAGUUUACUGGGCCAGCAUCAGUUUGGGCGGUAGGAUAAUGACUAAGGAAUGUGACUUGCCUUCGGGGAAGUGUUAUAGCCUUGGUUGAUACUGCCAGCCUAGACUGAGGACCGCGUCUUUGACAAGGAUGUUGGCAUAAUGAUCUUAAGCCA
This 593-nucleotide ribosomal RNA is filed under the name Millerozyma farinosa. Its description in RNAcentral is "eukaryotic LSU rRNA". It matches the Rfam family "Eukaryotic large subunit ribosomal RNA", at positions 40 to 647 of the family's 3401-position model. The record is from RNAcentral. Lineage: Eukaryota; Fungi; Ascomycota; Pichiomycetes; Serinales; Debaryomycetaceae.